Molecule: long non-coding RNA, 698 nt
Filed under: Ursus maritimus (polar bear)
Lineage: Eukaryota; Metazoa; Chordata; Mammalia; Carnivora; Ursidae
Description: lncRNA (ENSUMAG00000013281.1)
Source: RNAcentral
CCGUCGCCGCCGCCGCCUGGCCGGCCCCACGCCAGGGGAGAAAGAAUCCGCGCACAGGAGGGAGGGAGCAACAGGGAAGAGAGAGAGAGAUUCUCAGAAUGGAGAGUCACGUUUGAAGGAAACAUUUUUAAAAAGGGAGAAAGACUCGGACAGGUGCUAUCGAAAAAUAAGAUCUAUUCUCUAUUCACAGUAUAAGGGGCGAAACUGCGAACUCCUUAAAGCUCUAUCUAGCCAAACCGCUUACGACCUUGUAUAUAUUUAAUUUCAGGGAAACAUCCUUCCCAGAACCUGAACUCUCUCUCCCAACGGUCCAUGACUGCGGCCACGGUGGAUGCGGGUCUGUUGGCCUCUUUCAUCCCUUGGAGCUCGCCUUGCAAUUUGCAGCUGCGGCAGCUGCUCGGCAGAGGACAGGAUGGUUUUGAACAACUCGGUGGUGUUGAUGAUGGACAGCUAUCUCUGUAUAAGGAGGCUUUGGCUGUGGGCCUGGCAAAAUGAUGGUCAACCCAUUCAUUCAACAGAUGUUUGCAGAGCACCUGCUAUGCUCCAGAAUGUGGGCCUGAAUGAGACGGGCAAGACCUCUGCCAACAUAGACCUUACAGCCUCGUCGGAGAGACAACCAAUGAACAGGUAAACACAAAGAUAAGCAUUUCCCAGAAUGUUUACAUUCGAAGGUCAGUGGUGGCAGCUGAAUUUUAUAU